Long non-coding RNA from Rhodamnia argentea, 564 nucleotides. RefSeq lists it as uncharacterized. The transcript has 3 exons. Lineage: Eukaryota; Viridiplantae; Streptophyta; Magnoliopsida; Myrtales; Myrtaceae. The record is from RefSeq and is a predicted model, not a curated record.
AACAGUCCAACCCGGUGCCGCCACGUGGCGAGCUCAAUGGCGCCCAUUUUAGGGGAUUUUAAAGGCGCGGGGAAGACUAUAAACCCGGAGUUCGUGUUCUGAAAACGUUGUUCGAUUCGCCUUCUUCGAGUUCGCCAUUCGCCGUGAUCGACCAAGGAUUGACUUGCAGCAGCAUCCAUGGAAGCCCCACAAAGCCAGCAGGAAAAGCUUUCGCCUCCACCUCGUACUUCAUGCCGUAAAAAUAAGAAGGAUGAUGCCGCUGUCUUGGAGGAUUUGAAGGAUCACAUUGAUGAGUUUAUCAAUGCAUCCAUGGAAGAGCAUAAAACUUGUUUCAAGAAGACCAUGCAAAAGAUGUUUGGAAUGUCAAAGGUUGUAGCGGAAAGGAGUUCUGCCGCCCAGGAAGUUGAAAGUUCUCUGCCGCUUCGGACAACUGUGGCAGAGUAAAUCAUCUAUCUGUGGUGCUAGCUCCACUGUAUAGAUGGAUGGGUGACUUAUUCUCUUUUUUAUGUUUUGGUUUGACGGUCGAAGUUUGAGUGAACUUUGUUAGCUCUGGUUCAGGAGUCA